This is a long non-coding RNA of Ananas comosus (pineapple), 564 nucleotides long. RefSeq lists it as uncharacterized. The transcript is spliced from 2 exons. NCBI's taxonomy places the organism in Eukaryota, Viridiplantae, Streptophyta, Magnoliopsida, Poales, Bromeliaceae. The record is from RefSeq and is a predicted model, not a curated record.
UCUUAGCAAGCUCUAUGUCCUGUUCUAAUUAAGUGCUUCAUCUCAUAUUUAGCAUCUAGACGUGUCAAUGCUUUGCUUGUUGGCCUCUGGAAACUUCCAGCAAAGCCAAAGGUUCAUGAUCAAAAGUUUUGUAGAUUCUACCUCUUUUGUCUCCGACCAAGUCCCAACGGCUUUGGCUUUGGCUUUGGCUUUGGAAGAGAGCAUUAAAUUACAAGUCCGUAAGAAAUUGCCCUAUGACCUGACCCACACCGAUUAAUCAAUCUCCUACAGUAAGAAGCUCUACGAAAGAUCCAUUAAAGCUUCAAAUUAUCUAGAGUUGUGCAGAAGAUUCUACUACAGUUGAAGUGGUUUUAACGUUUCAUAAUUCCUUGUUGAGAAACGGAUUACGUACAAAUUCAGCUCCUGAAAUAUGAUCCCAGCGUCAGUACUGUCAUCGUUAUUGUUUUAAUUGUAACAAUUUAGUCCUUGAGGUUGGAUCGAAAUUAUAUAUAGUUUGAUCAUUAUAUAUUUGUCCUCAGUGCUUUAAUUUUUAACCCCAAUUAAAAAAAGAAAGGUUCAGCAAUA